Molecule: long non-coding RNA, 1606 nt
Organism: Monodelphis domestica (gray short-tailed opossum)
Lineage: Eukaryota; Metazoa; Chordata; Mammalia; Didelphimorphia; Didelphidae
Source: Ensembl
AGGGAAGGGAAGGAGAGAGACAACUUGAAUCUUGUGACUUCAUAAAACUCAUGUAUAAAAUUGUUAUUGUGUGUAAUUGGUAAAAUAACAUAUUUUUUAAAAUAAGUAAAAUAUGAAGAAAGUAGAAAAAAUACUUUUCCAGAAUACUGAGCGAUUAAAUGAUUUGCUGAAGGCCUCAUAGCCAGGAUGUGUCAGAGGCAGUCCUGCAACCCAAGUCUGUCUGAUCUGGUGCUAGCUCUUUAUUCACUAUACCAUACUCACCUUGCACAGAGUAAGCGAUUCAUAAACAUUGACUGAAUUGAAUUAUUUGAAACUCCUUAAGCAGCAGACACACAAUAAUUAGCAAGAUACCAUUUUGUGCUAAAUAAGAUUAUAGAUGAAUAGAUUUAGAUUUCGAAGAGGGCUUUAUUUGGAAUCUAACUCAAUCCCUUCAUUUUACAGAUGAGGGAGCUGAAACCAAAGGACUUGCACAAGGUCACUCAGAGAGUAAGCAUUAGAGAUUCCUUCAAAGGACUCUGUUGCUUUGGACUUAAAGAACAGAGAAUAUGGGAAAUGUUGGAACCAAUGGACAACGUACAAAGCAGCAAGAAGCCUCUUUAAAUAGUUCACAUGCAUCAGUUUCGUUGUCUUAUUCAAAGAACUCUAAUAUAUCAAGGCUUGGAGUAGCCAGUGCUGGGACCUGAAGCCUUUAUGUUACACACAAGCUGGUGAAUUGCACAACCAGGAAUGGGAAAAUUGUCUUCCAUAGGCACACAGUCAAUUACUUUUCAGAUGGAAGUAAGGAUCUAGUUGGGGACAUCAUCAAGUUCCCUUCCUUUUUCUUAUAUGAAUAUUUCAAAAAGUAAAGCAGUUGUGGUUUCAUAUAUCUACAUGGCCCUUUCAUCCGUACAGAUUGAGUUUUUCUAGACCUUGGUGGGAUUGUAGGUUUAGGAGAUUAAGUAGAUUAAGGAAGGGACCUUAGAGGCCAUCUAGUUCAAUUCCUUCAUUUUACAGAGGAGGAAACUGAAGCCCACAGACAUUAAGUGACUUGCCCAGGUCACCUAGCCCGUUAGCAGCAGAAUCAGGACAGCAGACAAAAUAAUUACCAUUUAGUGAUGGACCUAUUGUUUGAACAAUGGGUUUAUGUUCAUUGAUAUUGAGGGAGAAGCUUUCGUUUACUUCUCGAUUUCCUUUUUCCUCAAUCAAGAUUUAAUCCGUUUUGAGAGCAAAUCCCUGAGGUGAGAAAGAAGACACCCCAAACCUCGGGAUUCUUCCUCCUCUCUGGGGGUGGGGGGAGGAACCAGCAAAAGUGGAGAUGGGCGGACAAUCAUCACGAAGGAGCCUAGUCAGUAAUUCUUGCUAGCAGCACCUUUCACCACCUUUUAUUGCUGCUGUUCAGAACCCAUGACUGCCAAGCUUUGUUUCCAGAGCCAUGUUUUCCAGGAAGUGAAGAAUCCCAAAGGUGGGCAGUCCAUGUGCCUACUGCCAAGCUGGCUCGGGAGGCUUUCAGCUGAAGGAUUUAUAAGGCAAGAAUGCAUUGCUCAUUAGCCUUAUUUGUAGCACACCUGUGCACUUUUCAAAAGCUUGUAGCUGGGCCACACCGAUGCCUUAGGAAGCAACAUUUUCC